AAGAAAGUAAUUAAGAGUGUAUGGAGGAUGCCUUGGCUCUCAGAGACGAUGAAGGACGUGACCAGCUGCGAUAAGCUUCGGGGAGGCGCUAAUAGCCUUUGAUCCGGAGAUUUCCGAAUGGGGAAACCUGUUCCGAUGAAGUCGGAAUAUCCCGCAAGGGAAGUCAACCCACCGAACUGAAACAUCUUAGUAAGUGGAGGAAGAGAAAACAAUAGUGAUUCCCUAAGUAGUGGCGAGCGAACGGGGAACAGCCCAAAUCCCGAUUGUUAAGGCAAUCGGGAGGUUGUAGGACUGCAACGUGGACUGCAAAUUUAUAAUGGAACAUUUCUGGAAAGCUAGACCAUAGCGGGUGAUAGUCCCGUACAUGAAAUAAAUUUGCUACCUAGCAGUAUCCUGAGUACCGCGGGACCGGAGAAAUCCUGUGGGAAUCUGCCAGCACCAUCUGGUAAGGCUAAAUACUACUGAGAGACCGAUAGCGAACAAGUACUGUGAAGGAAAGGUGAAAAGAACCUCGAACAGAGGAGUGAAAUAGAACCUGAAACCGUACACUUACAAGCGGUCGGAGGCCAACACCAUGCUUGCAUGGUUAGUAGCUAACGGCGUGCCUUUUGCAUAAUGAGCCUACGAGUUACUCCUCACUAGCAAGGUUAAUUCUGUUUACGGAAGGAGCCGAAGCGAAAGCAAGUCUGAAUAGGGCGUGUAGUUAGUGGGGGUAGACGCGAAACUUUGUGAUCUACACAUGACCAGGUUGAAGUCAGCGUAACAGUUGAUGGAGGACCGAACCAGUUGACGUUGAAAAGUCUUUGGAUGAGUUGUGUGUAGGGGUGAAAGGCUAAUCAAACUGAGAGAUAGCUCGUACUCCCCGAAAUGUUUCUAGGAACAGCCUCGAGGUAUGAGUAUCAUAGAGGUAGAGCUACUGAUUGGACUAGGGGGCUUCACCGCCUGCCAAAUCCUGACAAACUCCGAAUGCUAUGAUAUAUACUCGGGAGUGAGGCGCUGGGUGCUAAGGUCCAGUGCCGAGAGGGAAAUAACCCAGACCAUCAGCUAAGGUCCCCAAAUUUAUGCUAAGUUGGUUUAACGAAGUCUGAUUGCAUUGACAGCUAGGAUGUUGGCUUGGAAGCAGCCAUUCAUUUAAAGAGUGCGUAACAGCUCACUAGUCGAGCGAUCGGGCGUGAAUAAUAAUCGGGCAUAAGCAUAAUACCGAAGCUAUGGAAUUGAAGCAAUUCAAUUGGUAGGGGAGCAUUCCAGUUGCGUCGAAGAUGUAUCGUAAGGUAUGUUGGAGCGGCUGGAAAAGCAAAUGUAGGCAUAAGUAACGAUAAUGCAGGUGAGAAACCUGCACACCGAAAGACCAAGGUUUCCUGAUCAACGCUAAUCGGAUCAGGGUUAGUCGGGUCCUAAGGCGAAGCCGAAAGGCGUAGUCGAUGGUAAACAUGUUAAUAUUCAUGUACUUGCAUAUAUUGCGAUGGAAUAACGGAGAAGUGAAAGUCCUGCGUACUGACGGAAUAGUACGUUGAAGGGCGUAGGUAUAAGAACUAACAGGAAAACCCGUAGUUCUUGCUGAAACCUGAUAGUACCGUGAGUCUUCGGACAAGCGGAUAAUGGACCUAAGCAUGCUUCCAAGAAAAAUUUCUAAGCUUCAGAUAUAUGCAACCCGUACCGGAAACCGACACAGGUGGUCGAGGAGAGAAUCCAAAGGUGCUCGAGUGAUCCAUGGCUAAGGAACUAGGCAAAUUAACCCUGUAACUUCGGAAAAAAGGGUCCCUAUUUCGGUAGGGCGCAGAGAAAUGGCCCAGGCGACUGUUUAGCAAAAACAUAUGGCUUUGCAAAAUUUUAAGAUGAAGUAUAAGGCCUGACACCUGCCCGGUGCUGGAAGGUUAAGAGGAGAUGUUAGUCGCAAGGCGAAGCAUUGAAUUGAAGCCCCAGUAAACGGCGGCCGUAACUAUAACGGUCCUAAGGUAGCGAAAUUCCUUGUCGGGUAAGUUCCGACCUGCACGAAUGGUGUAACGAUCUGGGCGCUGUCUCAGCCAUGAGCUCGGUGAAAUUGUAGUUCCGGUGAAGAUGCCGGAUACCCGCAACGGGACGGAAAGACCCCGUGAACCUUCACUGCAACUUUGCAUUGACUUUGGAUAAACAAUGUGUAGGAUAGGUGGGAGACUGUGAAGCGGAGGCGCUAGCUUUCGUGGAGUCAACCUUGAAAUACCACCCUUUGUUUCUUUGAAGCCUAAUCCCGACUUAGUCGGGAAACAGUGCAUGGUGGGUAGUUUGACUGGGGUGGUCGCCUCCAAAAGAGUAACGGAGGCUUUCAAAGGUACCCUCAGCACGUUUGGUAACCGUGCGUAGAGUGCAAUGGCAUAAGGGUGCUUGACUGUGAGACCUACAAGUCGAGCAGGUAGGAAACUAGGACAUAGUGAUCCGGUGGUUCCGUAUGGAAGGGCCAUCGCUCAAAGGAUAAAAGGUACUCCGGGGAUAACAGGCUGAUCACUCCCAAGAGCUCACAUCGACGGAGUGGUUUGGCACCUCGAUGUCGGCUCGUCACAUCCUGGGGCUGGA
Molecule: ribosomal RNA, 2550 nt
Filed under: Bacteroidales bacterium
Lineage: Bacteria; Pseudomonadati; Bacteroidota; Bacteroidia; Bacteroidales
Description: partial 23S ribosomal RNA
Rfam family: Bacterial large subunit ribosomal RNA
Source: RNAcentral